RNAcentral lists this ribosomal RNA (301 nucleotides) under uncultured bacterium. Its description in RNAcentral is "partial 16S ribosomal RNA". It matches the Rfam family "Bacterial small subunit ribosomal RNA", at positions 509 to 807 of the family's 1533-position model. The record is from RNAcentral.
CAGUCGCCGCGGUAAAACGAAGGGUGCAAGCGUUAAUCGGAAUUACUGGGCGUAAAGCGUGCGUAGGCGGUGAGUUAAGUCCGUUGUGAAAGCCCUGGGCUCAACCUGGGAAUUGCAGUGGAUACUGGGUCACUAGAGUGUGGUAGAGGAUAGUGGAAUUUCCGGUGUAGCAGUGAAAUGCGUAGAGAUCGGAAGGAACAUCUGUGGCGAAGGCGACUAUCUGGGCCAACACUGACACUGAGGCACGAAAGCGUGGGGAGCAAACAGGAUUAGAUACCCGAGUAGUCCCUGUCUCUUAUAC